ACCAUUUUAUUAUUAGUAGAUUAGUGAAAAUUUGAUUUGAAAAAUGCAUGGGAGAGACUAUUUAUAGAUUUUUUAAAGCUUAUUUGAAUAGUCACAACCCUUCAAUAUGAGUAGUCACAUUCUUCUAAUACUCACAACUUCUCACUUUUUAAAAGAUACUAGUGAAUAGUCACAACUUUUAGACUAUUUUUAGAAGGACACAACCUUACAACAUAUAACUUUUAGAAAAGACACAACCCUCUACACAUAUUUUUCAAAAGACACAACCUUUCAACAUAAUUGAAAUUCACAACCUUAGAAAUUAAUUAGAAAAGACACAACCUUACAACAUAGAACUUUUAGAAAAGACACAACCCUUUACACUACUUUUUCAAAAGACACAACCUUUCAACAUAAGUGGAUUCACAACCUUAAAAAUUAAUUGGAAAAGACACAACCUUCCAACACGCGACGAUACGGAAUGGCUUCGAGGUUCAAGGACUCCAUGGGAGAAGAUAUUCACCAUUUUUUCUUUGUCUCAAGUUUUUCUGAAUAUACCGUCGUUGAUAUCGCUCAUCUCGUUAAAAUCUCUCCUGAAUUCCCGUUGAUAGAGCGGUUUUGCUCAGCUGCGGUGUCUCCACAGGAAUUGGAGCAGCUUGGAAAACGGCUGACAUUGAAGAAGGCUCCACCGUUGCAGUUUUUGGCCUUGGUGCUGUUGGACUAGCGGUUGGAGAAGGAGCCAGGCUGCGGGGGGCAGC
This is a long non-coding RNA of Brassica napus (rape), 737 nucleotides long. RefSeq lists it as uncharacterized. NCBI's taxonomy places the organism in Eukaryota, Viridiplantae, Streptophyta, Magnoliopsida, Brassicales, Brassicaceae. The record is from RefSeq and is a predicted model, not a curated record. The transcript has 3 exons.